GUGAAAGCCAAGUGUCGCAGAAAUGGAAAGUGCCACCAAGGACGUGCAGGACGAGGAGUGACGGCUGUGGACACCCACUCAGUUGAAGAACCAAUAAGAAAAAUAACUGAAUGUGCCAGGGUCUACACAGACAAUCACUCAGAAACUGCUAAACUUUUGAACCUGAAAGGAAGCAGGAGAGAAGUAAAGAUGGAGGAAGAGUGAGGCCUUAGCAGGAAUCCACGCUGUGCGAGUCUCCGCGCUGUU
This is a long non-coding RNA of Lemur catta (Ring-tailed lemur), 246 nucleotides long. RefSeq lists it as uncharacterized. The transcript is spliced from 3 exons. Lineage: Eukaryota; Metazoa; Chordata; Mammalia; Primates; Lemuridae. The record is from RefSeq and is a predicted model, not a curated record.